This 404-nucleotide ribosomal RNA is filed under the name uncultured bacterium. Its description in RNAcentral is "bacterial SSU rRNA". It matches the Rfam family "Bacterial small subunit ribosomal RNA", at positions 355 to 776 of the family's 1533-position model. The record is from RNAcentral.
UGGGGAAUAUUGGACAAUGGGGGAAACCCUGAUCCAGCGACGCCGCGUGAAUGAAGAAGGUCUUAGGAUUGUAAAGUUCUUUUGUUGGGAAAGAUAAUGACGGUACCCAACGAAUAAGCCCCGGCUAACUUCGUGCCAGCAGCCGCGGUAAUACGAAGGGGGCUAGCGUUGUUCGGAAUGACUGGGCGUAAAGGGCGCGUAGGUGGUUUUAUAUGUCUGAUGUGAAAGUCGAGGGCUUAACCUUCGGAUUGCAUUGGAAACGGUAAGACUUGAGUUCGAGAGGGGAGUAUGGAAUUGCGCGUGUAGAGGUGAAAUUCGUAGAUAUGCGCAAGAACACCAAAGGCGAAGGCAUUACUCUGGCUCGAUACUGACACUGAGGCGCGAAAGCGUGGGGAGCAAACAGG